GUGCCAGCAGCCGCGGUAAUUCCAGCUCCAAUAGCGUAUAUUAAAGUUGUUGCAGUUAAAAAGCUCGUAGUUGAACUUCGGGACCUGUGGGUUGGUCGUGCCUCCGGUACGUACUGGCUCUACCGGUUCCUCCCUUCUGAAGAACCACGAUGUCAUUAAUUUGGUGUCGUGGGGAAUCAGGACUGUUACUUUGAAAAAAUUAGAGUGUUUAAAGCAGGCUAAAGCUUGAAUAGAUUAGCAUGGAAUAACGAAAUAGGACGUUUGAUCUUAUUUUGUUGGUUUCUAAGAUCGACGUAAUGAUUAAUAGGGAUAGUUGGGGGCAUUAGUAUUCAAUUGUCAGAGGUGAAAUUCUUGGAUUUAUUGAAGACUAACUACUGCGAAAGCAUUUGCCAAGGAUGUUUUCAUUAAUCAAGAACGAAAGUUAGGGGAUCGAAGACGAUCAGAUACCGUCGUAGUCUUAACCAUAAACKRRGCCGASUAGGGAUCGGAUGAUGUUAAUUUUUUAAUGACUCRUUCGGCGCCUUACGGGAAAC
This 533-nucleotide ribosomal RNA is filed under the name uncultured Glomeromycotina. RNAcentral describes it as "SSU rRNA". It matches the Rfam family "Eukaryotic small subunit ribosomal RNA", at positions 566 to 1109 of the family's 1831-position model. Lineage: Eukaryota; Fungi; Glomeromycota. The record is from RNAcentral.